Molecule: ribosomal RNA, 198 nt
Filed under: uncultured bacterium
Lineage: Bacteria
Description: partial 16S ribosomal RNA
Rfam family: Bacterial small subunit ribosomal RNA
Source: RNAcentral
ACGCUCGACACCUACGGGAGCCAGCAGUGGGGAAUAUUGCACAAUGGGGGAAACCCUGAUGCAGCAACGCCGCGUGAAGGAAGACGGUUUUCGGAUUGUAAACUUCUGUUCUUAGUGAAGAUAGUGACGGUAGCUAAGGAGCAAGCCACGGCUAACUACGCGCCAGCAGCCGCGGUAAUCUGAGCGGGCUGGCAAGGC